UGGGGAAUAUUGGACAAUGGGCGCAAGCCUGAUCCAGCCAUGCCGCGUGAGUGAUGAAGGCCCUAGGGUUGUAAAGCUCUUUUGUGCGGGAAGAUAAUGACGGUACCGCAAGAAUAAGCCCCGGCUAACUUCGUGCCAGCAGCCGCGGUAAUACGAAGGGGGCUAGCGUUGCUCGGAAUCACUGGGCGUAAAGGGUGCGUAGGCGGGUCUUUAAGUCAGAGGUGAAAUCCUGGAGCUCAACUCCAGAACU
This 250-nucleotide ribosomal RNA is filed under the name uncultured bacterium. RNAcentral describes it as "partial 16S ribosomal RNA". It matches the Rfam family "Bacterial small subunit ribosomal RNA", at positions 355 to 622 of the family's 1533-position model. The record is from RNAcentral.